This 429-nucleotide ribosomal RNA is filed under the name Bacteroidota bacterium. RNAcentral's name for it is "Bacteroidetes bacterium partial 16S ribosomal RNA". It matches the Rfam family "Bacterial small subunit ribosomal RNA", at positions 355 to 776 of the family's 1533-position model. The record is from RNAcentral. Lineage: Bacteria; Pseudomonadati; Bacteroidota.
UAGGGAAUCUUCGGCAAUGGGGGGAACCCUGACCGAGCAACGCCGCGUGAGUGAAGAAGGUUUUCGGAUCGUAAAGCCCUGUUGUUAAGGAAGAACGAGUGUGAGAAUGGAAAGUUCAUGCUGUGACGGUACUUAACCAGAAAGGGACGGCUAACUACGUGCCAGCAGCCGCGGUAAUACGUAGGUCCCGAGCGUUGUCCGGAUUUAUUGGGCGUAAAGCGAGCGCAGGCGGUUAGAAAAGUCUGAAGUGAAAGGCAGUGGCUCAACCAUUGUAGGCUUUGGAAACUGUUUAACUUGAGUGCAGAAGGGGAGAGUGGAAUUCCAUGUGUAGCGGUGAAAUGCGUAGAUAUAUGGAGGAACACCGGUGGCGAAAGCGGCUCUCUGGUCUGUACCUGACGCUGAGGCUCGAAAGCGUGGGGAGCGAACAGG